ACGAAUUUCAGAGGUUGUGCUGGUUCUUACAAGUGCACGCCUCUUUCAAUUCCAUUCACACCCAUGUGCACUUUAAGAGACGCAUUUCCCCCGUUUACGUGCCUUUAUCGGCUCGGGAUUUCGUCUGUUUUACACACUCUAUUUGUAUUAGAACGUAAUCUAGCGGAAACGCUGAAACAUAAUA
Molecule: unclassified non-coding RNA, 184 nt
Filed under: uncultured Agaricomycetes
Lineage: Eukaryota; Fungi; Basidiomycota; Agaricomycetes
Description: sequence contains ITS1
Source: RNAcentral